This 375-nucleotide ribosomal RNA is filed under the name uncultured organism. RNAcentral describes it as "partial 16S ribosomal RNA". It matches the Rfam family "Bacterial small subunit ribosomal RNA", at positions 527 to 896 of the family's 1533-position model. The record is from RNAcentral.
GUAGGUGGCAAGCGUUGUCCGGGAAUUAUUGGGGCGUAAAGCGCGCGCAGGCGGUUCUUUAAGUCUGAUGUGAAAGCCCACGGGCUCAACCGUGGAGGGUCAUUGGAAACUGGAGAACUUGAGUACAGAAGAGGAAAGCGGAAUUCCACGUGUAGCGGUGAAAUGCGUAGAGAUGUGGAGGAACACCAGUGGCGAAGGCGGCUUUCUGGUCUGUAACUGACGCUGAGGCGCGAAAGCGUGGGGAGCAGACAGGAUUAGAUACCCUGGUAGUCCACGCCGUAAAGGAUGAGUGCUAAGUGUUAGGGGGUUUCCGCCCCUUAGUGCUGCAGCUAACGCAUUAAGCACUCCGCCUGGGGAGUACGGCCGCAAAGGCUG